GGCAGCGGGGCCCAGGGGCGGCGGGGCUGCAGCAGCGGCGGCCCCAGCUUCGCCGAGCAGCGAUCGGCUGGUGGGCUUCUCGUUGGCGGGCUCCGCGUUGGCGGGCUGCUCCCCAGGCACCAGCGCAGCGCGCGCUCGCCCGGCUUCGUCACUCGCCUCCAGCUACAUCCGCCGGCCGAGGCUGCGCGAGCCUCCGGGCUUGCGGUCCCCGCCCCGCGGUCCUUCCUCCACCCUCAGCCAGGGCAGCUGCAGCCCGAGCGAACAGCCACGGAGCAUCCUCCGCCCGCCCGGGCCGCGCCACCGCCCAUGCUGCAGCCAGUCCCAGGCAGCGACCCCGCGGCCGCAGCCCGCCGCUCAGUGACCUCAGCCUGGC
RNAcentral lists this long non-coding RNA (373 nucleotides) under Homo sapiens (human). RNAcentral's name for it is "lncAB183.1". Lineage: Eukaryota; Metazoa; Chordata; Mammalia; Primates; Hominidae. The record is from RNAcentral.